GACGAACGCUGGCGGCGUGCCUAAUACAUGCAAGUCGAACGCAUUUUCUUUCACCUUGUCUCACUACACUGAAAGAAAAUCGGGUGCGUACGGGGUAGUAACACUUGGUUAACCUGCCCAUCAGCGGGGGAUAACACUUGGUAACAGGGGCUAAUACCUCAUAAUUCCAUUUACCGCAUGGUAAAUAGAUGAUACGCGCUUUUGAGUCACUGAUGGAUGGACCCGCGGUGCAUUAGCUAGUUGGUGGGGUAACGGCCUACCAAGGCUGCGAUGCAUAGCCGACCUGAGAGGGUGAUCGGCCACACUGGGACUGGGACACGGCCCAGACUCCUACGGGAGGCAGCAGUAGGGAAUCUUCGGCAAUGGACGCAAGUCUGACCGAGCAACGCCGCGUGAGUGAAGAAGGUUUUCGGAUCGUAAAACUCUGUUGUUAGGGAAGAACAAGGAUGAGAGUGGAAGGUCAAUCCCUGGACGUUAUCAAACAAGAAAGCAACGGCUACUUACGG
RNAcentral lists this ribosomal RNA (506 nucleotides) under uncultured bacterium. Its description in RNAcentral is "partial 16S ribosomal RNA". It matches the Rfam family "Bacterial small subunit ribosomal RNA", at positions 28 to 506 of the family's 1533-position model. The record is from RNAcentral.